Paramisgurnus dabryanus is the source of this 490-nucleotide long non-coding RNA. RefSeq lists it as uncharacterized. NCBI's taxonomy places the organism in Eukaryota, Metazoa, Chordata, Actinopteri, Cypriniformes, Cobitidae. The record is from RefSeq and is a predicted model, not a curated record.
UUAACUCGUUCCAAAGUUUCGGCAUUGGGAGACGAAGGUUUAACGAAUGCUGUGAGUUUGGUGACUUGUUUGAGCAUACCGAGGGGACAGGAUUUUUCUGCCAUUGAUCUAGAAAGAAUUUCAGAAUGGUGUAUGGCUUGAAGCAGUUUAAAAUAUUUCUUGGUCAAGACUAAAUCUAUCGGAACGUCUCUAAUUCGACCUUCUACUCUAUUUUGGUUUUUUGAGGUCUGAGCUAUCCUUUUCUCACCUGGGAAUACUGUGUCCACCAGUGGUGAAAAACGAUUGAAGAGGGGAAGAGACAUGAUUUAAAAGUUCUCAACUAAGGGACAAAAACAUAAAACCAGAGAGUUCUACCAUUUUGGAGACAGCACAGUGAGUCCUGAUGAGGUUGUGUGAAGGGAAACCAAUCCAGUUCUCUUUGGAGAAUCUUCAGUGUGCACACCCUUUGUUGUAAAUUUCCAAAAGUGAUUAUAAAAGAGAUCCACACAUA